This 254-nucleotide ribosomal RNA is filed under the name uncultured bacterium. Its description in RNAcentral is "partial 16S ribosomal RNA". It matches the Rfam family "Bacterial small subunit ribosomal RNA", at positions 524 to 776 of the family's 1533-position model. The record is from RNAcentral.
CACGUAGGGGGCAAGCGUUGUCCGGAUUUAUUGGGCGUAAAGAGCUCGUAGGCGGUUCGAUAAGUCGGGUGUGAAACCUCCAGGCUCAACCUGGAGACGCCACCCGAUACUGUCGUGACUAGAGUCCAGUAGGGGAGCGUGGAAUUCCUGGUGUAGCGGUGAAAUGCGCAGAUAUCAGGAGGAACACCAGCGGCGAAGGCGGCGCUCUGGGCUGGCACUGACGCUGAGGAGCGAAAGCGUGGGGAGCGAACAGG